RNAcentral lists this long non-coding RNA (1577 nucleotides) under Fukomys damarensis (Damara mole-rat). Its description in RNAcentral is "lncRNA (ENSFDAG00000022309.1)". Lineage: Eukaryota; Metazoa; Chordata; Mammalia; Rodentia; Bathyergidae. The record is from RNAcentral.
UAGGCAAAAGAUGCAGUAUAUUCCAAAAACAUUUACAAAUUUAGCAACAUGUUGAUUGGUGAAUGAACUCGAAAAACUGUCACAUUAGAAAUAGCUAAAGUAACUAGGAAAGUGUCUUGUUGCUGAGACAAUAUACCUGACACCCAAAGUUAAUGGAGGAAAGGUUUAUUUCAGCUCAUAGUUUAUAGAGGUUUCAGUUCAUAAUCAGCUGGCUCCAUGGCAGAAGGGCAUCACAGAGGAGAAACAAUUCAUGGCAGGGAAAAAGAGCACCAAGUAGCAAAAUAGCAGCCUUUCUUCUGUGCCUUAUAUUUUAUCCUGGCUACCCACAGAACUCACACCCUUAAUCUCAGCAUCAGACUGUGAAUCAAUCCCAACAUCACAUCCUUAAUCGCAAUAUCACAAACUCUAGAUCACAGUCAUCUCCAAAAACCCCCACCUAUGACCAUAUGAGGCUUUGCGGGGACAUCUAGACAGAAGCCACAAUAGGAAGUUUAACGUGAAUUUUUUAAAAAUGUGUUGGUGGGAACAACUGUCUAAGGAUACACAAGGUGGCAUACUAAAAAUAGGUCAAAAAGUGUCCAAUUAAUAUUGUUGGCAAACCUAAGUCCAUUUGGUUCCCAUUGGAGGGGCCUAAUGAAUCAAGAAUAAAUUAUUGGGGCAAAGAAAAAGCUUAUUCCUGAAGGUUUUUUCUCUUUGACCCGAUGCUGGGCAUCAAAACUAGUGUCAGGUAAGCUUCCUCUACAAACAAGUUACAUCUCCAACAUCAAGAUUUACUUGUACUAUUACAGGCCACUUGGGUUCAUAUGCUCAUUUCGUCUGCUGGCAAGUGAAUAAGUCAAAGGAGGCCACAUAUUUGCUUAAAAAGGAAAAAUAGCUCCUGGAAGAUGGACGGGCUCAUUUGCCUCAAAUCACCAUCUCCCAGUUUACAGGUGAGGAAGCUGAGUCACAGAAAGUUUAAGGAGCUUGUCUCACAGAAGGGAAAAGGAAAGAACCACAACUGGCUAUUUCGAGGUUUCAAGGAUAAAAGACAUUUUUAUUAUUUUAUACUUACUUUUUACCAUUACAUAGGUCAGGGCCAGGACCAAUAUGUAUAAACAAUUUAAAGCAGGUUUCAAUCUAGCAGAAGGACAAAUGCAUUAAUUAAUGAAACAAGGAGUGAUACAACAUGCUUGUAGUCCCAGUGCUCUGGGAGGUUAAGGCAGGGGAUCACAAAUUCAAACCCAACCUGGGAAAUUUAGCAAUUUAGCAAGAUCGAAUAUCAAAAUAAAAGCUAAAAAGAGGUCUGAGGAUGUUAAAGGCCCUGAAUUUAAUCCCCCAUACAGCCAAAAGCAAAAGCAAAAGCAAAAACAAAAUAAUUAAACAUAUGUAGUCUUAACAAUUUAACGUUAAAGGUCAGACUCACAUCAUACCUUGUUUUUAGAUGUAUACAUACAAAUUUGCCCAAAUAUAUGUUCUGUCAUAAACUAAAAUAGUAGUUGGUUAUUUAACCAAUCACGAAUUCAUUAUUGAAAACAUUUUGUAAGUUACCACUCAAAUUGUAAGCACAAGGUCCCAAGUGGAAUCCUCAUACCAAAAAC